Molecule: long non-coding RNA, 1303 nt
Filed under: Homo sapiens (human)
Lineage: Eukaryota; Metazoa; Chordata; Mammalia; Primates; Hominidae
Description: HSALNT0317553
Source: RNAcentral
UGAUUCCUCCACCCAGAAGCCCUUAAAAUGCAGCUUUGUUUUAAGCCUUCUUGAAGAUUUGGGCUAGAUCUAGAAAAGAACCUCACCACGGAGGAUGUGCAAAGUACAACACGUGACCCCGGAGACGGAAGCUCUUCUCUACCUCCGUAAAGAUGAUCUCUGAUGAACAGACAUGAUCAUGCCUGGAGAACAGGGAUGGACAGUCCCGCUUCUGAAAGACCCUGUCUGGCUGAUGAUUCAUGGUGCGCCGGGCAGACCCCAGGCCAAGAGACCCCACCCACAGUACCUGAGUGCUCAGCUGGGAACCAGACCAGACCUCAAAACAGGUUUGCAGAAUUAAGAUGAGGAGCUGAGCUCAACACAGCCUCCGCAGCUCCCCAGGGCGGGCCUGAGCCGAGGGAGAGCCCAUGGCCAUCAGGGUGCUGGAAUGCAUGUCACACUGCAUUACGUGCAUUACGAUCCACGCUGCAAUGACAGCCCAGAGCGUGGAGAACCCAGAGAGGGUGGGGAGAUGGAAUCCCGGCGAGCCAGCGCUGGCAGGGACCACGGGGAGCAGCUGGUCCAGCCGCCGGUUUUCCAAGAGAGAAGACUAAGAAACCAGCCCCCCAGCAUUGACCUGGAUGCCUGCCACAGCCUCCUCCCUGGUCUCCGGCCUCCCACCUCUGCUCCUCGGUCUCCUCUACCCAGCCAGUAACUGCAGAGAGCACUAAAGCACAGUCCUGGCAUCUCACCCCCUUAACCCUGGCCACGGCUUCCCAGUGCCUCCAAGAUAAAGCACCAACACCUGAGGACAGCAGCUUGUUUUGAGAGUCCCCUCCAUUGAAACACGCACAUCUAAUUUGUCCUUCAGUUCGCUGGACUCCACGCUGAACGUGCCAUGCUCCAUUGCCCCGUGAGUAACUCCAUGCUCUUGCCGGUUUCACACGGCCUCUCAGAGCUGGAGCCUUUGUUCAGGAGCCCUGGGCAGCUUUCAGGAAGCUCUUGGGCUCAUCAGCUUCCUCUGGCUGAAGCCGCCCCAGUGGAAUCAUGGGGAUUUCUUACUUUGAAGGUGGGGCCACCCGCAGACUGUAACCGGCUGGUUCAAGAUCAAGGACUUCCCCAGGCCACCUGCCUCAGAGGCAAGAAAGGCUCAGCUGAGUCCCAGACACUCCUCGCUGUGGCCCCUCCUUCCUCCCUGCUGGGCAGGCCCCCCUCAAUUCUGUUUGCCAGCAGGGCCUAGUAACACUGAAAGACGAAAAGGGAAAUAAAAUAAACACAAUUAAUAGGCUAAAGGUUACUGAAUAAAGUGGCAGCAGUAAAUAAA